Molecule: long non-coding RNA, 299 nt
Filed under: Setaria viridis
Lineage: Eukaryota; Viridiplantae; Streptophyta; Magnoliopsida; Poales; Poaceae
Description: long non-coding RNA (SVIR_LNC004524)
Source: RNAcentral
UUCAAGUUCAACAACUUAUGCAAUGUUAAGGUAAUAAUUUUUGUACAUAGAUGGCUUCUGCUACUGGAGGAAGUGGCGAUGGUGGGGGCGAUCGUGGUUCCUAUUUCGGCAAGGGGAAAAUCAUAGUUGGCCCUCAGCAUAAGCCGAAGAAAAAGAGCGCGCUGAAAAAAGCAAUGCUUCGUUAUUUGCAGCAACGUCAUGAAGAAGCUGUUGCCGCGGGUCAGGAACCUCCUUUUGGUGGUCGUUAUGCUCCACCCUCAGUCCCGGGUGUUUCACGUCCACUUAGUACUACCGUUUCA